This 425-nucleotide ribosomal RNA is filed under the name uncultured bacterium. RNAcentral describes it as "partial 16S ribosomal RNA". It matches the Rfam family "Bacterial small subunit ribosomal RNA", at positions 354 to 796 of the family's 1533-position model. The record is from RNAcentral.
GUUAGGAAUAUUGGACAAUGGGCGCAAGCCUGAUCCAGCCAUGCCGCGUGAGUGAUGAAGGCCUUCGGGUUGUAAAGCUCUUUAGCCGAUGAUUAUAAUGACUGUAGUCGGAAAAUAAGCCCCGGCUAACUUCGUGCCAGCUGCCGCGGUAAUACGAAGGGGGCGAGCGUUAUUCGGAAUCACUGGGCGUAAAGCGUGCGUAGGCGGCUUUGCAAGUUGGGAGUGAAAGCCCAGGGCUCAACCCUGGAAUUGCUCUCAAAACUGCAAGGCUCGAAUUCGGGAGAGGAUAGCGGAAUUGUCAGUGUAGCAGUGAAAUGCGUAGAUAUUGACAGGAACACCAGUGGCGUAAGCGGCUAUCUGGACCGAUAUUGACGCUGAGGCACGAAAGCGUGGGGAUCAAACAGGAUUAGAAACCCUAGUAGUCC